CUGCAGCCCGAGUGGUGAUCGAUUUUAUUGAGCCUAAAGCGUCCGUAGCCGGACUAGUAAACCCUUGGGUAAAUUGGGCAGCUUAACUGUCCAAAUUCCGAGGGGACUGCUAGUCUUGGGACCGGGAGAGGUCAGAGGUACUCAAGGGGUAGGGGCUAAAUCCUGUAAUCCUUUGGGGACCACCAGUGGCGAAGGCGUCUGACUAGAACGGAUCCGACGGUAAGGGACGAAACCCUGGGGCGCGAACCGGAUUAGAUACCCGCGUAGUCC
RNAcentral lists this ribosomal RNA (270 nucleotides) under uncultured archaeon. Its description in RNAcentral is "partial 16S ribosomal RNA". It matches the Rfam family "Archaeal small subunit ribosomal RNA", at positions 477 to 747 of the family's 1478-position model. The record is from RNAcentral.